This 508-nucleotide ribosomal RNA is filed under the name Paeniglutamicibacter sulfureus. RNAcentral describes it as "bacterial SSU rRNA". It matches the Rfam family "Bacterial small subunit ribosomal RNA", at positions 8 to 527 of the family's 1533-position model. Lineage: Bacteria; Bacillati; Actinomycetota; Actinomycetes; Micrococcales; Micrococcaceae. The record is from RNAcentral.
AGAGUUUGAUCCUGGCUCAGGAUGAACGCUGGCGGCGUGCUUAACACAUGCAAGUCGAACGAUGACUCUGUGCUUGCACAGAUGAUUAGUGGCGAACGGGUGAGUAACACGUGAGUAACCUGCCCUUGACUCUGGGAUAAGCCUGGGAAACUGGGUCUAAUACUGGAUAUGCACCGUGGACCGCAUGGUUCUUGGUGGAAAGAUUUUAUUGGUCAAGGAUGGACUCGCGGCCUAUCAGCUUGUUGGUGAGGUAAUGGCUCACCAAGGCGACGACGGGUAGCCGGCCUGAGAGGGUGACCGGCCACACUGGGACUGAGACACGGCCCAGACUCCUACGGGAGGCAGCAGUGGGGAAUAUUGCACAAUGGGCGAAAGCCUGAUGCAGCGACGCCGCGUGAGGGAUGACGGCCUUCGGGUUGUAAACCUCUUUCAGUAGGGAAGAAGCGAAAGUGACGGUACCUGCAGAAGAAGCGCCGGCUAACUACGUGCCAGCAGCCGCGGUAAUACG